CUCGACUAUUAUGGUCUUUGCCCUGCUCAGCUGGCACCUAACUCGGUCCGGCUUAUAAUUAGCUUUGCUUUAUUGUGUCAGUUAAUACCGACUGAGUCUCGUCAUUCUCUUUUCCAUACCUUCUUUGUUCUUCGUCUCCAUCCAAAGGCCAAGGGUUGGUGGCUCUUCAACCCAAGAAAAGAUCAUUCCUUCAUUACUGAUCUUCUAUCGUCCAUUCAUGAAUGAAAAAAUCAAUUCUUUUUUAUUUUUUCUUCUCUUUCCUAGGGCUUUCUUUCACGCUGGGGUGAUCCAAGGACCAGUCCCAACGAGAACAGUCGGAUGGAAGUCGACGAUCGAAAGGAUUUUCAUCGACUGAAGG
Molecule: long non-coding RNA, 358 nt
Filed under: Elaeis guineensis (African oil palm)
Lineage: Eukaryota; Viridiplantae; Streptophyta; Magnoliopsida; Arecales; Arecaceae
Description: long non-coding RNA (EGUI_LNC038212)
Source: RNAcentral